Molecule: long non-coding RNA, 363 nt
Organism: Astatotilapia calliptera (eastern happy)
Lineage: Eukaryota; Metazoa; Chordata; Actinopteri; Cichliformes; Cichlidae
Source: Ensembl
UGUCAGUGUCAAUAUUAUUAUAAUUAUUGUUGAUUGUUAUUAUUUACAGCUCCUCUCUGACUGCUCGUGGCUUUUUGAUAGCCUGAGGUGUGGCACCCAGUCUCGUCUUGUGCUGCUGUAGCCCAUCUGCUUCAAGCUUUUGAAGUGUUGUAGAUUAGGAGAUGCUCUUCUGCACCCCUUGGCUAGGCUCCGGAGACCUGAUGCCAAAAUUUGGAUUAACUUUGGGCGUGUUGUCAUGUGCAAAGAUGGAGAGGAGAAAGCAAAACAAGACCGCUGAUCACUGAAGAAAGUCCCACAAAAUUACCUUCUGGUCAGCUGGGCCUCCUGGGCCUGCUUGGGUUCUCUCAGUGUACUCCAGCUUCC